UACGGAGGGUGCGAGCGUUAUCCGGAAUUACUGGGUUUAAAGGGUGCGUAGGCGGCCAAGUAAGUCAGGAGUGAAAGUUUGCGGCUCAACCGUAAAAUUGCUUUUGAUACUGCUUAGCUAGAACCAGGAUGAGGUUAGCGGAAUGUGGCAUGUAGCGGUGAAAUGCAUAGAUAUGCCAUAGAACACCAAUUGCGAAGGCAGCUGGCUAGACCUGUAUUGACGCUGAGGCACGAAAGCGUGGGGAGCGAACAGG
RNAcentral lists this ribosomal RNA (253 nucleotides) under uncultured bacterium. Its description in RNAcentral is "partial 16S ribosomal RNA". It matches the Rfam family "Bacterial small subunit ribosomal RNA", at positions 524 to 776 of the family's 1533-position model. The record is from RNAcentral.